GGACUACCCGGGUAUCUAAUCCUGUUCGCUCCCCACGCUUUCGUGCCUCAGCGUCAGUUAUGGUCCAGAAAGCCGCCUUCGCUACUGGUGUUCCUCCGAAUCUCUACGCAUUUCACCGCUACACUCGGAAUUCCACUUUCCUCUCCCACACUCUAGUUCAUCAGUUUCAGAAGCAGCUUAGAGGUUGAGCCCCUAGAUUUCACUUCUGACUUAACAAACCGCCUACGCACCCUUUACACCCAGUAAAUCCGGAUAACGCUCGCUCCCUACGUAUUACCGCGGCGGCUGGCAC
RNAcentral lists this ribosomal RNA (292 nucleotides) under uncultured bacterium. RNAcentral describes it as "partial 16S ribosomal RNA". The record is from RNAcentral.